UACAGAGGGUGCGAGCGUUAAUCGGAAUUACUGGGCGUAAAGCGUGCGUAGGCGGUUUGUUAAGUCUGUCGUGAAAUCCCCGGGCUCAACCUGGGAAUGGCGAUGGAUACUGGCAAGCUAGAGUGUGAUAGAGGAUGGUGGAAUUCCCGGUGUAGCGGUGAAAUGCGUAGAGAUCGGGAGGAACAUCAGUGGCGAAGGCGGCCAUCUGGAUCAACACUGACGCUGAGGCACGAAAGCGUGGGGAGCAAACAG
This 252-nucleotide ribosomal RNA is filed under the name uncultured bacterium. RNAcentral's name for it is "partial 16S ribosomal RNA". It matches the Rfam family "Bacterial small subunit ribosomal RNA", at positions 524 to 775 of the family's 1533-position model. The record is from RNAcentral.